Pantherophis guttatus is the source of this 1240-nucleotide non-coding RNA. The record is from RefSeq and is a predicted model, not a curated record. NCBI's taxonomy places the organism in Eukaryota, Metazoa, Chordata, Lepidosauria, Squamata, Colubridae.
UUGAAGGCUUCCCGAAAAGAGGGCGGGGCGUCUCCUGUGGCAGAUCUUUCGGGCGGCCGUCUGGCGCCUCCGGACCCUUCUGUCGUUAUGCGCGCGCGGCUCCUUGAAGCUGGGGAAAUUCGCACGCGUCAGGGGUCUCUUACUCGGCUAGCAGCCGCAGAAAAAAGACGCCCCUGAUCAGACUGCUGCUCUCUUCGCUACUCUCCGGACGGCCCGUUUAUCGACCGGAGAUGCGGAGCGCUGAGCCCUUCUCCCUCUCAGGGGGAGGCCGCUCCCCAUUCGUUUGGUGUUUUGAACGGAGAGCGACCUAGUGCGCGAAUAGUAAACCCUUAUACAGAUGUUCAUUUAUUGUUACUUCUGUAUGACAAUGAGGAGUUCAGAAAAGCUCGCGCCAAGUUAACCGACGUUGCCCCGAAAGAGGAGAGAGCCGGGUGAAGUGCUCGGGGGCAGCUGUUCCACAGGGAGAAAAUGUAGUUUCAGGAGGAAGAGAGAAUAGGGAAGUUAUUUGUUUCAACUACUUUUGUGGAGGAAGAGAAUGCAGAAUCUGGUUUCCAUCACAAGCCUUGGAAAACUAUCUUCGUGGUUCAAGCCAUGUUAUUCCUUGUGAAUGAAAGACAAUUCUCCAAUCUUCUGCAGAGGGGAGGGAAGAACAGAGAAAUUGAUCUUUGGCCACUCCAAUGAUAAAUGGAAAGAAAUAUUAUGGCAUGGAUGGUGGAAGAAAUUACUAGAAGAUUCUUCUAGUGUACUCUAGAAUCCUCUAGAGGUCACUGUUGCACCAGCAGAAGAAAACUGAGCACCCCCUCAUAUAGAAAAAUAUCCCUGGCAUGCAAGUAACUGGAAAGGGAUAUAAUACUUGUAAUAUCUUUUUUCUAUGGGCUUUUCAGCAGUCAUCAAAACAGCCAUCCACAAACACCUCCAAAUACAUCCAUUGGUGCCUACAAGGACAAUCCUUCUUAAUAAUUUUCUGAAAACAAAUCGUGAUAGAGGGCUCAAUACUAUGCAAUUUAUCAGUCGUUUUGAAAUAAGAUUUCUUUUGCACCGAGAGAUGGGAAAGGAAAUUAAAAGGCGAAAGAUUUAUACGAAAUUAAACAUGAAGAGGACAGCAGGAAGGGAGGUUUUUUCACUAAAACAUUUCCAGUCCAAAGAUCAUUAAAUUCUAUUUCCCAUGAAAACCAGUUUUAAGCAGCACUUACAAGUAUUUUUGUUUUUUUUUAAAUAAAGCCUCUUUCUUCUCUCCCCA